GGAGCUUGCUCCACCGGAAAAAGAGGAGUGGCGAACGGGUGAGUAACACGUGGGUAACCUGCCCAUCAGAAGGGGAUAACACUUGGAAACAGGUGCUAAUACCGUAUAACAAUCGAAACCGCAUGGUUUUGAUUUGAAAGGCGCUUUCGGGUGUCGCUGAUGGAUGGACCCGCGGUGCAUUAGCUAGUUGGUGAGGUAACGGCUCACCAAGGCCACGAUGCAUAGCCGACCUGAGAGGGUGAUCGGCCACAUUGGGACUGAGACACGGCCCAAACUCCUACGGGAGGCAGCAGUAGGGAAUCUUCGGCAAUGGACGAAAGUCUGACCGAGCAACGCCGCGUGAGUGAAGAAGGUUUUCGGAUCGUAAAACUCUGUUGUUAGAGAAGAACAAGGAUGAGAGUAACUGUUCAUCCCUUGACGGUAUCUAACCAGAAAGCCACGGCUAACUACGUGCCAGCAGCCGCGGUAAUACGUAGGUGGCAAGCGUUGUCCGGAUUUAUUGGGCGUAAAGCGAGCGCAGGCGGUUUCUUAAGUCUGAUGUGAAAGCCCCCGGCUCAACCGGGGAGGGUCAUUGGAAACUGGGAGACUUGAGUGCAGAAGAGGAGAGUGGAAUUCCAUGUGUAGCGGUGAAAUGCGUAGAUAUAUGGAGGAACACCAGUGGCGAAGGCGGCUCUCUGGUCUGUAACUGACGCUGAGGCUCGAAAGCGUGGGGAGCAAACAGGAUUAGAUACCCUGGUAGUCCACGCCGUAAACGAUGAGUGCUAAGUGUUGGAGGGUUUCCGCCCUUCAGUGCUGCAGCUAACGCAUUAAGCACUCCGCCUGGGGAGUACGACCGCAAGGUUGAAACUCAAAGGAAUUGACGGGGGCCCGCACAAGCGGUGGAGCAUGUGGUUUAAUUCGAAGCAACGCGAAGAACCUUACCAGGUCUUGACAUCCUUUGACCACUCUAGAGAUAGAGCUUCCCCUUCGGGGGCAAAGUGACAGGUGGUG
This 990-nucleotide ribosomal RNA is filed under the name Enterococcus faecium. Its description in RNAcentral is "bacterial SSU rRNA". It matches the Rfam family "Bacterial small subunit ribosomal RNA", at positions 75 to 1043 of the family's 1533-position model. Lineage: Bacteria; Bacillati; Bacillota; Bacilli; Lactobacillales; Enterococcaceae. The record is from RNAcentral.